Molecule: ribosomal RNA, 700 nt
Filed under: Streptomyces coelicoflavus
Lineage: Bacteria; Bacillati; Actinomycetota; Actinomycetes; Kitasatosporales; Streptomycetaceae
Description: bacterial SSU rRNA
Rfam family: Bacterial small subunit ribosomal RNA
Source: RNAcentral
GGGGACAUGCGGGUGCUACACAUGCAGUCGAACGAUGAACCACCUUCGGGUGGGGAUUAGUGGCGAACGGGUGAGUAACACGUGGGCAAUCUGCCCUUCACUCUGGGACAAGCCCUGGAAACGGGGUCUAAUACCGGAUACUGACCUGCCAAGGCAUCUUGGCGGGUCGAAAGCUCCGGCGGUGAAGGAUGAGCCCGCGGCCUAUCAGCUUGUUGGUGAGGUAAUGGCUCACCAAGGCGACGACGGGUAGCCGGCCUGAGAGGGCGACCGGCCACACUGGGACUGAGACACGGCCCAGACUCCUACGGGAGGCAGCAGUGGGGAAUAUUGCACAAUGGGCGAAAGCCUGAUGCAGCGACGCCGCGUGAGGGAUGACGGCCUUCGGGUUGUAAACCUCUUUCAGCAGGGAAGAAGCGAAAGUGACGGUACCUGCAGAAGAAGCGCCGGCUAACUACGUGCCAGCAGCCGCGGUAAUACGUAGGGCGCAAGCGUUGUCCGGAAUUAUUGGGCGUAAAGAGCUCGUAGGCGGCUUGUCACGUCGGUUGUGAAAGCCCGGGGCUUAACCCCGGGUCUGCAGUCGAUACGGGCAGGCUAGAGUUCGGUAGGGGAGAUCGGAAUUCCUGGUGUAGCGGUGAAAUGCGCAGAUAUCAGGAGGAACACCGGUGGCGAAGGCGGAUCUCUGGGCCGAUACUGACGCUGA